RNAcentral lists this ribosomal RNA (403 nucleotides) under uncultured microorganism. Its description in RNAcentral is "bacterial SSU rRNA". It matches the Rfam family "Archaeal small subunit ribosomal RNA", at positions 330 to 738 of the family's 1478-position model. The record is from RNAcentral.
GUGCACCAGUCGAGAAUACUUUACAAUGUGCGAAAGCACGAUAAGGGAACUCUGAGUGCCUCCUAAGGAGGCUGUUCUGAUGUCUAAAAAGCAACAGAAGUAAGGGCUGGGUAAGACCGGUGCCAGCCGCCGCGGUAACACCGGCAGCCCAAGUGGUAGCCACGUUUAUUGGGUCUAAAGCGUUCGUAGUCGGCCAGGUAAGUUCCUUGGUAAAUUUAGCCGCUUAACGGUUAAGCUUUCAGGGAAUACUGCUUGGCUUGGGACUGGGAGAGGUCAGAGGUACUCCGGGGGUAGGGGUGAAAUCUAUUAAUCCCUGGGGGACCACCGGUAGCGAAGGCGUCUGACCAGACCAGGUCCGACGGUGAGGGACGAAGGCUAGGGGCGCGAACCGGAUUAGAUACCC